CCUAGAGUUGUAGGCUUUGCCUGCUAUCUCUUACCCAGUGUCUUUUGAGUACCUUCGUUUCCUCGGCGGGUCCGCCCGCCGAUUGGACUAUUUAAACCAUUUGCAGUUGCAAUCAGCGUCUGAAAAAACUUAAUAGUUA
RNAcentral lists this unclassified non-coding RNA (139 nucleotides) under soil metagenome. RNAcentral describes it as "partial internal transcribed spacer 1". The record is from RNAcentral.